GGGGAAUAUUGCACAAUGGGCGAAAGCCUGAUGCAGCGAUGCCGCGUGAGGGAUGACGGCCUUCGGGUUGUAAACCUCUUUCAGCAGGGGAGAAGCGAAAGUGACGGUACCUGCAGAAGAAGCACCGGCUAACUACGUGCCAGCAGCCGCGGUAAUACGUAGGGUGCGAGCGUUGUCCGGAAUUAUUGGGCGUAAAGAGCUUGUAGGCGGUUUGUCGCGUCUGCAGUGAAAAUCCGAGGCUCAACCUCGGACUUGCUGUGGGUAUGGGCAGACUAGAGUAUGGGAGGGGAGACCGGAAUUCCUGGUGUAGCGGUGGAAUGCGCAGAUAUCAGGAGGAACACCGAUGGCGAAGGCAGGUCUCUGGGCCAUAACUGACGCUGAGAAGCGAAAGCAUGGGGAGCGAAC
This 405-nucleotide ribosomal RNA is filed under the name uncultured bacterium. Its description in RNAcentral is "bacterial SSU rRNA". It matches the Rfam family "Bacterial small subunit ribosomal RNA", at positions 356 to 773 of the family's 1533-position model. The record is from RNAcentral.